Molecule: long non-coding RNA, 217 nt
Filed under: Trifolium pratense (red clover)
Lineage: Eukaryota; Viridiplantae; Streptophyta; Magnoliopsida; Fabales; Fabaceae
Description: long non-coding RNA (TPRA_LNC011728)
Source: RNAcentral
AUAGAAGAUUAUAUCUAGUUAAUUAAAUAAUUAUUAGAUAUUAGUUAAUUAAUAAUUUAGGUAUAAGGAAGAUUUAGUAUUUUUAUUGUUAUGAGGACUUUUGUGUUAUUGGGUUGUUUAAAUGGGUUUUGUGCAUUAGGCCCAUUAGGAGUAUUAUAUAUAUGUAGUGCCUUAUGCACUUUGAUCAAUCAAUGAAAUGAAUCAAUUUAUCUUUUAU